CACCGCGGUUAGACGGGAAGCCCAAGUAGAUAAGUUACGGCGUAAAGUGUGGUUAAGGAAAUAUACUAAAAUAAAGCGGAACACCCUCCAGGCUGUUAUACGUUACUGAGGUUAAAUAAACACAUCUACGAAAGUGGCUUUAAUACUCCCCAUCCACGAAAGCUUUGGCA
RNAcentral lists this ribosomal RNA (170 nucleotides) under Parapercis sexfasciata (grubfish). Its description in RNAcentral is "partial 12S ribosomal RNA". Lineage: Eukaryota; Metazoa; Chordata; Actinopteri; Uranoscopiformes; Pinguipedidae. The record is from RNAcentral.